This is a ribosomal RNA of Capra hircus (goat), 119 nucleotides long. NCBI's taxonomy places the organism in Eukaryota, Metazoa, Chordata, Mammalia, Artiodactyla, Bovidae. The record is from Ensembl.
GUCCAUGGCCAUACCACCCUGAAUGCACCCGAGCUUGUCUGAUCUCAGAAGCUAAGCAGGGUCGGGCUGGUUAGUACUUGGAUGGGAGAAUCCUGAGAGAGACAGUGACUCCCUGGGAA